Molecule: ribosomal RNA, 254 nt
Filed under: uncultured bacterium
Lineage: Bacteria
Description: partial 16S ribosomal RNA
Rfam family: Bacterial small subunit ribosomal RNA
Source: RNAcentral
UACGUAGGGUGCAAGCGUUGUCCGGAAUUAUUGGGCGUAAAGAGCUCGUAGGCGGUUUGUCGCGUCUGCCGUGAAAGUCCGGGGCUUCAACUCCGGAUCUGCGGUGGGUACGGGCAGACUAGAGUGAUGUAGGGGAGACUGGAAUUCCUGGUGUAGCGGUGAAAUGCGCAGAUAUCAGGAGGAACACCGAUGGCGAAGGCAGGUCUCUGGGCAUUAACUGACGCUGAGGAGCGAAAGCAUGGGGAGCGAACAGG